CAGCACAGCUGCAGACAUGGCUCCCAGCACCAGGGCCCAGUCUGGGCUCUCUCCUUCUUCUCCUUCUUUUGCUUCUUCUUCUGCAAACAGCAUAGUGUUUUAUUGAGUGAAAAGAGAAAAGAGGAGAGGAGAGGAGCAGAAAAGAGGGGAAGAGAAGAGGAGAGGAGAAAUACAGUACAGGAGUGAAGGGAAGUGAAAUCCUAUGAUGACCACAAGACAACAUCAUACCCAAGUCAUUUCCUUAUUUUCACAGUAUUAACAAUUUCUGACACAACCCCCCUCAAAAUGUUUGCUACAGAUGAUAUUAUUAAUGACAUAUAUUAUCAAAAUGAUGGUUGUGUAUGAAGUUCAGUAUACGUAAUGUCAUUAAGGUAUUUUCACAUAUUGAUCUGUUGAGAGGAUUGUAGUGGAGUACACCUGCAUUUUGUUCACGUGAAAGUGACCGUGACACACCUGCGUUUGGUCCAUGUGAGAGAGUGACCGUGACGGCUUGACUAGCGCUGGAGUUGAUGGUCAGGUCUGUGGAGACGGUCAUCUGAUAGAGGCAGGAG
Alosa alosa (allis shad) is the source of this 551-nucleotide long non-coding RNA. RefSeq lists it as uncharacterized. The record is from RefSeq and is a predicted model, not a curated record. The transcript is spliced from 2 exons. NCBI's taxonomy places the organism in Eukaryota, Metazoa, Chordata, Actinopteri, Clupeiformes, Clupeidae.